UUUCCGUAGGUGAACCUGCGGAAGGAUCAUUAUAAAAUUUUUGAAGGAGCUGUUUGCUGGCCCUUAGCGGGGCACGUGCACGCUCCGUUUGAAUCCAACCUUUAUACAUCUUUGCACUCUUUGUAGGGUUGUGGCCGCGAGGCUGCACCCUAUGUCAUUAUAAACGCUUUAGUAUGUGUUGAAUGACCAUUGCGUUUAUCGAAUCUUUAUACAACUUUCAGCAACGGAUCUCUUGGCUCUC
RNAcentral lists this unclassified non-coding RNA (241 nucleotides) under plant metagenome. RNAcentral describes it as "partial contains small subunit ribosomal RNA, internal transcribed spacer 1, and 5.8S ribosomal RNA". The record is from RNAcentral.